GACAGGUCAUCUUGAAGCCUAUCACACUUUGGGCAAAGUUUUAAAGGAACAUGCUUGGUUUUGUACAUCCAGAUAUGAAGAGCUGAUUGAUUUAUUACUUGGCCUGAAAUCUCCAGCUGAUGUUGCAACUCUUAUGCGCCGUUUAGCAUGUUUUCAUAUUCUUCUGGUUCAUACAUUGAAGGAAAGCUUGGAAGAAGAGAAUACGAAAGCUUUUCUUAUCCUCAAUGAGAU
Molecule: long non-coding RNA, 231 nt
Organism: Pistacia vera
Lineage: Eukaryota; Viridiplantae; Streptophyta; Magnoliopsida; Sapindales; Anacardiaceae
Exons: 3
Source: RefSeq, a predicted model, not a curated record